UCACCUUGAGCAUGGAAUUUGGGAAUAUUGUCAUAAUUACAAUCGAUCACAGUAUACCUUCAGAAGAGGCUUUUAUUAUAUUCGAAAUUGAAGCAACUUACUUGUCGAUUCAUCGAGUGAAAUAAAAACCUGUUUCAGGUAAUACAAAACCGUAGCCUUCAGCGCAUACCACAACGCACCGAAUCCCUUCCUGCAGAACGGAGCAAUCGCUGUGCCCAUUUGUUGGAGAUGGAACGUUUUCACAUACAUCUAAAUUGGAAUUCGCGCAAAAAUGGUGUGUGACUUUUACUAAUCUCCAGAGGAUGUCCAGAGUUGUCAUAAAAUACAGGCUCGUCCCAAGUAAUAUUUAUUGCCAUCGACUUGU
Molecule: long non-coding RNA, 364 nt
Filed under: Neodiprion pinetum (white pine sawfly)
Lineage: Eukaryota; Metazoa; Arthropoda; Insecta; Hymenoptera; Diprionidae
Description: uncharacterized LOC124214111
Source: RNAcentral